CUGAGGGACGAGGACCUCACCUGCAAGACAUGACUCCCAUGUGGCUCUUCCUCUUCCUGCUGUCAGCUCCCAGAUGUGUCCUGUCCCAGGUGCAGCUGCAGGAGUCGGGCCCAGGACUGGUGAAGCCCUCGCAGACACUCUCCCUCACCUGCUCUGUCUCUGGUUACUCCAUCACCAGUGAUUACUACUGGAGCUGGAUCCGCCAGCCACCAGGAAAAGGGUUGGAGUGGAUAGGGAGCAUACGCUAUGAUGGUAGCACUUACUACAGCCCCUCCCUCAAGAGCCGAACCUCCAUCUCCAGAGACACAUCCAAGAACCAGUUCUUCCUUCAGCUGAGCUCCGUGACCACCAAGGACACAGCUGUGUAUUACUGUGCAAGAGACACAGUG
This is a non-coding RNA of Myotis brandtii (Brandt's bat), 389 nucleotides long. NCBI's taxonomy places the organism in Eukaryota, Metazoa, Chordata, Mammalia, Chiroptera, Vespertilionidae. The record is from the annotation of a RefSeq genome assembly.